CCUACGGGGGGCAGCAGUGGGGAAUAUUGGACAAUGGGGGCAACCCUGAUCCAGCCAUGCCGCGUGUGUGAAGAAGGCCCUCGGGUUGUAAAGCACUUUCAGUGAGGAAGAACGCCUGGUGGUUAAUACCCAUCAGGAAAGACAUCACUCACAGAAGAAGCACCGGCUAACUCCGUGCCAGCAGCCGCGGUAAUACGGAGGGUGCGAGCGUUAAUCGGAAUUACUGGGCGUAAAGCGCGCGUAGGUGGCUUGAUAAGCCGGUUGUGAAAGCCCCGGGCUCAACCUGGGAACGGCAUCCGGAACUGUCCAGCUAGAGUGCAGGAGAGGAAGGUAGAAUUCCCGGUGUAGCGGUGAAAUGCGUAGAGAUCGGGAGGAAUACCAGUGGCGAAGGCGGCCUUCUGGACUGACACUGACACUGAGGUGCGAAAGCGUGGGUAGCAAACAGGAUUAGAUACCCCGGUAGUC
This 465-nucleotide ribosomal RNA is filed under the name Vreelandella stevensii. RNAcentral's name for it is "partial 16S ribosomal RNA". It matches the Rfam family "Bacterial small subunit ribosomal RNA", at positions 338 to 795 of the family's 1533-position model. The record is from RNAcentral. Lineage: Bacteria; Pseudomonadati; Pseudomonadota; Gammaproteobacteria; Oceanospirillales; Halomonadaceae.